RNAcentral lists this ribosomal RNA (529 nucleotides) under Pseudomonas sp. EA24. Its description in RNAcentral is "bacterial SSU rRNA". It matches the Rfam family "Bacterial small subunit ribosomal RNA", at positions 88 to 613 of the family's 1533-position model. Lineage: Bacteria; Pseudomonadati; Pseudomonadota; Gammaproteobacteria; Pseudomonadales; Pseudomonadaceae. The record is from RNAcentral.
CAAUUCAGCGGCGGACGGGUGAGUAACGCCUAGGAAUCUGCCUGGUAGUGGGGGACAACGUUUCGAAAGGAACGCUAAUACCGCAUACGUCCUACGGGAGAAAGCAGGGGACCUUCGGGCCUUGCGCUAUCAGAUGAGCCUAGGUCGGAUUAGCUAGUUGGUGGGGUAAUGGCUCACCAAGGCGACGAUCCGUAACUGGUCUGAGAGGAUGAUCAGUCACACUGGAACUGAGACACGGUCCAGACUCCUACGGGAGGCAGCAGUGGGGAAUAUUGGACAAUGGGCGAAAGCCUGAUCCAGCCAUGCCGCGUGUGUGAAGAAGGUCUUCGGAUUGUAAAGCACUUUAAGUUGGGAGGAAGGGCAGUAAAUUAAUACUUUGCUGUUUUGACGUUACCGACAGAAUAAGCACCGGCUAACUCUGUGCCAGCAGCCGCGGUAAUACAGAGGGUGCAAGCGUUAAUCGGAAUUACUGGGCGUAAAGCGCGCGUAGGUGGUUUGUUAAGUUGGAUGUGAAAUCCCCGGGCUUAAC